UACAGAGGGUGCGAGCGUUAAUCGGAAUUACUGGGCGUAAAGCGUGCGUAGACGGUCAUGUAAGUCGGGUGUGAAAGCCCCGGGCUCAACCUGGGAAUUGCAUUCGAGACUGCAUGGCUAGGAUGCGGAAGAGGGAAGCGGAAUUUCCGGUGUAGCGGUGAAAUGCGUAGAGAUCGGGAGGAAGGCCGGUGGCGAAGGCGGCGCUCUGGAACAUUUCUGACGCUGAGGCUCGAAAGCGUGGGGAGCAAACAGG
This 253-nucleotide ribosomal RNA is filed under the name uncultured bacterium. Its description in RNAcentral is "partial 16S ribosomal RNA". It matches the Rfam family "Bacterial small subunit ribosomal RNA", at positions 524 to 776 of the family's 1533-position model. The record is from RNAcentral.